This 301-nucleotide ribosomal RNA is filed under the name uncultured bacterium. RNAcentral's name for it is "partial 16S ribosomal RNA". It matches the Rfam family "Bacterial small subunit ribosomal RNA", at positions 509 to 807 of the family's 1533-position model. The record is from RNAcentral.
CAGCAGCCACGGGAAUACGUAGGGUGCAAGCGUUAAUCGGAAUUACUGGGCGUAAAGCGUGCGCAGGCGGUUAUAUAAGACAGAUGUGAAAUCCCCGGGCUUAACCUGGGAACUGCAUUUGAAACUGUCAGGCUGGAGUCUUGUAGAGGGGGGUAGAAUUCCAGGUGUAGCGGUGAAAUGCGUAGAGAUCUGGAGGAAUACCGGUGGCGAAGGCGGCCCCCUGGACAAAGACUGACGCUCAGGUGCGAAAGCGUGGGGAGCAAACAGGAUUAGAUACCCCGGUAGUCCCUGUCUCUUAUAC